RNAcentral lists this ribosomal RNA (788 nucleotides) under uncultured bacterium. RNAcentral's name for it is "bacterial SSU rRNA". It matches the Rfam family "Bacterial small subunit ribosomal RNA", at positions 10 to 807 of the family's 1533-position model. The record is from RNAcentral.
AGUUUUAUCCUGGUUCCGGACGACCGUUCGCGGCGCGUUUAACCCAAGCAAGUGGAAAGGAAAGGCCCCCAGCCUGCUGGGGUAUUGGAGUGGCGAACGGGUGAGUAACACGUGGGCGAUCCGCCUUGCACUUGGGGAUAAUCCUGGGAAAGAGGGUAUAAUACCAGAUAGGACCCUCCUUUAGUGUGGGGGGUGGAAAGAUUUUUAGGCGUGAGAUGAGCGCGCGGCGUAUCAGCUUGUAGGUGGGGUAAUGGCCUACCAAGGCGUCGACGGGUAGCCGGCCUCAGAGGGUGGACGAUCCACACUCGGACUGAGAUACGCCCCUGACUCAUACGUGAGGCAGCAGUCGGGAAUAUUGCACAAUCGGCGGAAGCAUGCUGCAGCGACGCCGCGUGGGGGAUGACGGCAUUCGGUUUGUAAACCUCCUUCGACCGGGACGAAGCAUUGUAGGUGACCGUACCUAUAUAAGAAGCACCGGCUAAGUACGUGCCAGCAGCCGCGGUAAUACGUAGGGUGCGAGCUCUGUCCGGAAUUAGUGGGAGUAAAGAGCUCGUAGGUGGUUUGUUGCUUUGUGUAAGUAAUUCCGGGGAUUAACGUCGGGCGUGCAGGCGAUACGGGCAAUACGUGAGUGAUGUAGGAGAGAAAGGAAUUCGUGGUGUAGCGGAGAAACGGUUAGAUAUCAGGACGAACUCCAAGAGCGAAGGCAUCUUGGCGGAAUGUAACUGACGGUGAUGCUAGAAAGUGUGGGUAUCAAACAGGAAUAGAUACCUGUACUCCACACAGUAAAC